Alligator sinensis (Chinese alligator) is the source of this 462-nucleotide long non-coding RNA. RefSeq lists it as uncharacterized. The transcript has 3 exons. The record is from RefSeq and is a predicted model, not a curated record. NCBI's taxonomy places the organism in Eukaryota, Metazoa, Chordata, Crocodylia, Alligatoridae.
GGAAAGAUCUACAAUAAAAUCAAGAAAUGUUUCCCAUUCCAUGCUAUUGUGGACUGCAGAGGAAAAAGGUUCCAUUUAUUGAAGAACUGUUCUUGCUUUCUAUAGAUGAAACCCAGCUUGAUUUUUGUCUUGCCUGGGAUGGAAAGCAGGAGAUUUUUAUGGAUGAAGAAGUUGUGAUGCAUUUCUACAACUGCAAAAAGAAAAAAACCAACAAAAAAACCCAAACAAACCUGGCUUGGACAGGAAGAAGACAAUGAAAAAUCAUUGGGAAACUGCAGACAGUCUUCAGAAUACCAACUAGAGUCUGCAUUGUCAUCCUACUGAGACCACAAUCAGACAAGAAAAAAAUCUUAUCUAUCUUAAUGGAUGUUUAAAAUAACAUUUGAAUACUUAUAACAACACCAGAAGUAUUCAACAAAUGAGAUUAUCCACAGCAGUUGGAAGUAUUUCCCGCAUCCUGCU